GAUGAACGCUAGCGGCAGGCCUAAUACAUGCAAGUCGGACGGGAUCUAUCGGAGAGCUUGCUCGAAGAUAGUGAGAGUGGCGCACGGGUGCGUAACGCGUGAGCAACCUACCCAUAUCAGGGGGAUAGCCCGGAGAAAUCCGGAUUAAGACCGCAUAACACUGUGAUUUGGCAUCAUGUUACAGUUAAAUAUUUAUAGGAUAUGGAUGGGCUCGCGUGACAUUAGCUAGUUGGUGAGGUAACGGCUCACCAAGGCGACGAUGUCUAGGGGCUCUGGGAGGAGAAUCCCCCACACUGGUACCGAGACACGGACCAGACUCCUACGGGAGGCAGCAGUAAGGAAUAUUGGUCAAUGGGCGGAAGCCUGAACCAGCCAUGCCGCGUGCAGGACGACUGCCCUAUGGGUUGUAAACUGCUUUUGUCGAGGAAUAAACCUAUCUACGUGUAGAUAGCUGAACGUACUCGAAGAAUAAGGAUCGGCUAACUCCGUGCCAGCCGCCGCAGUAA
RNAcentral lists this ribosomal RNA (506 nucleotides) under uncultured bacterium. Its description in RNAcentral is "partial 16S ribosomal RNA". It matches the Rfam family "Bacterial small subunit ribosomal RNA", at positions 28 to 523 of the family's 1533-position model. The record is from RNAcentral.